This 253-nucleotide ribosomal RNA is filed under the name uncultured bacterium. Its description in RNAcentral is "partial 16S ribosomal RNA". It matches the Rfam family "Bacterial small subunit ribosomal RNA", at positions 524 to 776 of the family's 1533-position model. The record is from RNAcentral.
UACGGGGGGGGCAAGCGUUGUUCGGAAUUACUGGGCGUAAAGGGCUCGUAGGCGGCCAACUAAGUCAUACGUGAAAUCCCUCGGCUUAACCGGGGAACUGCGUCUGAUACUGGAUGGCUUGAGUUCGGGAGAGGGAUGCGGAAUUCCAGGUGUAGCGGUGAAAUGCGUAGAUAUCGGGAGGAACACCAGUGGCGAAGGCGGCGAUCUGGGCUGAUACUGACGCUGAGGUGCGAAAGCGUGGAGAGCAAACAGG